CCUACGGGCGGCAGCAGUGGGGAAUAUUGGACAAUGGGCGAAAGCCUGAUCCAGCCAUGCCGCGUGUGUGAAGAAGGCCUUCGGGUUGUAAAGCACUUUCAGUGGGGAAGAAAGCCUUGGGGCUAAUACCCUCGAGGAAGGACAUCACCCACAGAAGAAGCACCGGCUAACUCCGUGCCAGCAGCCGCGGUAAUACGGAGGGUGCGAGCGUUAAUCGGAAUUACUGGGCGUAAAGCGCGCGUAAGCGGUCUGAUAAGCCGGUUGUGAAAGCCCCGGGCUCAACCUGGGAACGGCAUCCGGAACUGUCAGGCUAGAGUGCAGGAGAGGAAGGUAGAAUUCCCGGUGUAGCGGUGAAAUGCGUAGAGAUCGGGAGGAAUACCAGUGGCGAAGGCGGCCUUCUGGACUGACACUGACGCUGAGGUGCGAAAGCGUGGGUAGCAAACAGGAUUAGAUACCCCGGUAGUC
This 465-nucleotide ribosomal RNA is filed under the name Vreelandella stevensii. RNAcentral's name for it is "partial 16S ribosomal RNA". It matches the Rfam family "Bacterial small subunit ribosomal RNA", at positions 338 to 795 of the family's 1533-position model. The record is from RNAcentral. Lineage: Bacteria; Pseudomonadati; Pseudomonadota; Gammaproteobacteria; Oceanospirillales; Halomonadaceae.